This 400-nucleotide long non-coding RNA is filed under the name Homo sapiens (human). Its description in RNAcentral is "non-protein coding lnc-TUBA3C-1:1". Lineage: Eukaryota; Metazoa; Chordata; Mammalia; Primates; Hominidae. The record is from RNAcentral.
GUUUAUGGUGGUGAUUUAAGGCCAAGAGACAGACUCCAGGCUCAUCUAGUAACACUCAGGCUACUCCAGUUCAAAGGCAGCCACGUGACAGUUCCUGAACAUAUGGUUGUUGAAUAAAUGAAUGAAAAAUGAGAAAACCAGGAGCUCUGAUACUUAACCACAAUGAUGCUGCUGAAUUUGAAUUGGGAUCGUAUGUAGUUCCUCAUCUAGGAACUAGUGAUGAGUCAAAUAUAAAUUAAGAUAUAGUUUGGAAAUAUUAAGAAAUAUGUAUUGAUUUUAACCAGAAAUAUAUGAUCUGAAAGACAGUAGAAUGUAAUUAUUGGUCUGUUUACCUGACAUUUUGCUUCCCAUUAUGUAUAUGACGUGAAAAUCUUUAUUAAAGGAAAGUAUUUUUGUAUCA